UCCAAGAGUCUCCUUCCUUCUCCUUUGCAAACUCACGGCACAAGAGGGAUGAUUGGGUGAAUGAUGUAGUGAAAAUCUGGUAGAGGGUGGUGUUCAAUUGGUGCGGCAAAGGGUUGUAUUUAUAGGCUGAAAAUCACAGCCCCUAGGUAGCAAAGGAAAAGGAUUUAAAGGCCUAAGUUGCAUAGGAAAAUAAAGCACAAUCCUUGAAGGAAAACAAAUCAGAAAUCCAAAGGGAAUGGGAGGAUAAGGUGCGGCACUUAUCUAGGAAGGGAUAAGGGCUUCUAGAAACCAAAAUCCCAAGGGAUUUGGGUAAAAACUCACGGCACAAAGUGGAGAGAAAGUGGCUGAUUUGCAAUGCAAGGCAAAGGUCUUCUAGAAAGGUUCUAGGCGGCAUUUUUGUAGGAAAGGAUUAGGUUUUCUAGAAAUCUGAUUUUAAGCAUCCUAAUAUAGCUAGGAAUCCUCCCAAGUAGCUGAAAUAUAGGUGGAUUAGGAUUAGGAUAAGAUAGGAUAAGAUUGGAUAGGAUUGGAUUGGAUAGGGUUCGGAUAAUGUUUUGGAUAAGGUGUCUUCACUUGAGCUGAUUCUUUGGCUUUAACUUCCCUUCUUCAAGUAGGAAACCUUGUUUGAGUAGGAAACUUCAAUCUUCUAGGAAUCCAACUUUACUUAGGAAUCAUUCUUCAACUAGGAAUCCAUGCUUAACUAGGAUUUCAUCUUCAAUUAAGCACUUUCCCAUUUCAAUUAGGAAACUUUGCAUCUUCAAGUCUUCAACUUUGAAACACAUUCCUAGCUCUUCAAUCCUUCAAAUUCGUCCAUUCUUUGUGCUCCACAUGCAUGAGCUCCAUUCUAGCUCAAUUUUGCUCCAAAAUGCUCCAAAUUGCAUCGUUUUGCUUACUUUGUUCUUAAAACCUGAAAACACAUGGAAAUAGCUUAAAAGACUAACUUAACUAAGAAAACACAACAUAAAUGCAUAAGAACUAACUAACUAAGGCGCAUAAAUAUGCUCCUAUCAAAUUCCCCCACACUUAGCUUUUGCGAGUCCUCGAGCAAAUCAAAGAAACGAAACGAAACAAAAUAAUCAAAACAUAACCUAAACCUUCCAACGUUUGUCUCAGGGAUUCCCAAUGUACAUGACAUAUUAAAAAUCAUCAUUCCCAAAGAUUUUAGUCAUCUUCACACUUAAGCAUAUACUUAAUCAUAGUCACCACAUACUAGUUCACUUUUAACCAAUUAAAACAGGAUUUUGAAUGUAGUAACAUGCCUUAGAGAAUUUACUCAAGUCCUUACUAGAUAUGCAAUCAAUUUUCACACAGAUUUUCUAACUCCACACCCUAUACUAGUUAUAUGUGAGAAGAUUGAUGUAAAUAUGAAACGAACGCUCACAUAUAUGUAUAACAAAGAAAACAUUUUCUGGAGUUAAUAAGCAUUUAGAUAUGAUCUCAUGAAUGGAAUGCUACUACUUAGAUGCGAGAACCAAGGAUAUUAUAUGCUCAUACCAAUUCCAAACUCCACAUAUUGAAACACAUAACAAUCAAGAUAGAAGCAAAGGGUUGUAACGGGGCUAAGGUAUUGGCUAACAAAGAAAGGGUAGGAUAAACAAACACUCUUAAAGAAUAAUAAGCAAAGUAAUGAAAUUGACACUUAGAAUUCCCUUUUGCAUGCAAAAAUCAAUUUUGAAACACAAGGGGAAGACUCAUGCAACACUUAGGGCCAAAUUCAAGCUUUGUGGACCCUUUCUUCAACAUCCAACACUUUAGAGCAUCUUUUCACACAUUUUUCAACUCUUCUUCAUUCUUUUCACACUUUUUUCUUCAUUUUUUCUUUUUCUAACCCGUGCCCUUCUACUUCUUUUGGCACACGAAAUUUUCCUUCCCCCACACUUAUUUUUCUGCACAAUGUUGAUCAAAAGGAAUUCCCUCUAAGUCAUGCUUUAUUAUCCUUUAAGAACAAGGGUAUGGAUAGUCCUCAUCUAGGCUAGGUGAGGAUAAUGUGGCUAACAAAGAAAAUGGCUAACUAAGGCUCAAAAGGGUAAACCUACAAAACAAAUGCAUGGUAUGAAGGCUUUUUGGCUUUGGUGGUAACUACUAAACAACUUCAUCUUGUUAUAUGUUAUGCUAAUCAAUUUUAUGCUUUGAAUGAAAUGGGUAUGAGUUCUAAUAUUUGGAUCUAUAAUGAUGACACGCCUUCUAAGUAGCAACCAAGCAAAGAAUGAUGAGAUCGUGCAACGACUUUAGAAAACAACAAAUUCCCAGAUUAUUAACUCUCCAAAGAAUGUUUAGGCUCAAGUCUCACAGGGUUGUAGCGUUAGUUUGAGUUCCUUCCUUCAAGCAUGUUACAAAAACUGAUUUUUUCCUUUGUGAUUAUAUGUGAAUUUGAUAGGAGCAUAUUUAUGCGACUUAUUUGGCUUGUUCUUGUGCAUUUAUGUUGUUUUUCUUUAGUUGUUUUAAGUGUUUAAAGUCAUUUUCGUGCAAUUUCAGGUUUUAGAGACAAAGUAUGCAAAGAAGUGCGAAAUGGAGCAUUUUAGAGCAAAAUUGAGCUGGAAUGUUGUGUAUGCUUAUGGAGCACAAGGAAUGGACGAGUUUGAAGGUCAAAGGAUCUUAAGAAAUGAAGAAAUGAAAGUGAAGAACAAAGAAUUCGGAAUUGGAAACCAAAGUUUCUAAAGUUGGAAGUUUCUAUUCUUGGAGGUUUCCAUUUUCGAGAGUUUCUAUUCGUGGCUUUGGGCUUUUAGAUGACCCAUCUCUAACCCUAGCAAACUAGCCGCACCCUAGGCCUUUUUCCCAUUAAAAAUCUGGUUGUUUUAACCUAAUUUCUGAUGGAUUUGGGUUUUAGAGGCCCUAAUCUGAUUGCCCUAGGGUUUUGGAUGCCUAUAUAUACACAUUAUAACAUUUAGGCCGGACUACCAUCUGCAUAUCCAUUCUACACCACCAGAAAACCUAGUUCUACAACCUGCCGCACCCCUCCACCAUUCUUGCCGAGCUUUCCACCAUCUUCCACCCAUCAAACACUCAUCCACACUCAUCCUACACCCCUUGCCGUGCCUCUACACCCCCCAAAUUCCAUUCUACAUCAUCAAAACAAUCCAGGAAGCACCACCACCCAAUCUGCCGCAAGCAAGGAAAGGGGACAGAUUCUCUACAAUUGUUUGGCUCUUCAUUCUGAGUUGUUGAACGAUUUUAGGUGUUUUCUAUCUUAUAUUUCAAUGUCUAAUUCAUGUAAUCUUUGUUUUGCUUUAAGUAUGAUUGGCUAAAUUCGUUUUGGCUAAGGGGUGGAUUCAAAACCAUGAUUAUAUAUGUGAAAUAAUUUGAUUACUUUCAGUUAUCGUUGCAUAAGUCGUGAAUACAAUUUGCUUAACCGUUUGAUUUAGAACUUAUUCUUGUAUGUUGAUUGAGAGUGCACGCUUAAUUUGCAUGCUUGAAUAGGAGUUGGUUGAAUGACGCCGUGCAUUCCUCAUUGAAGUCAAAUGCCACAUCUUUUUGUAGGAGUCGGCAAAGAGGUUGGGCAACCUUUGAGAAGUCUUUGAUGAACCUACGAUAGAAACCUGCAUGGCCAAGAAAAGAACGAACCUCUCUAACCGAAGUAGGAGAGGGUAAGUGACGCACAAGAUCUAUCUUUGACUUAUCAACCUCAAUACCGUUUUCAGAGAUAAUAUGACCUAAAACUAUGCCUUGUUUAACCAUGAAAUGACAUUUUUCCCAAUUAAGAACAAGGUUAGUUUCAACGCAUCGUUUUAAGAUCAAACUUAGAUUACGCAAGCAACCAUCAAAAGAAUCACCAAAAACGCUAAAGUCAUCCAUAAAAACUUCAAUUAUUUUCUCAACAUAAUCAGAAAACAUGCUCAUCAUGCAUCUUUGAAAUGUGGCAGGUGCAUUACAUAAACCAAAAGGCAUGCGACGAUAAGCAAAUGUACCAAAAGGCAUGCGACGAUAAGUAAAUGCACCAAAAAGGCAUGUAAAAGUGGUUUUUUCUUGGUCCUCGGGUGCUAUGACAAUUUGAUUAUAACCAGAAUAACCAUCAAGAAAACAAUAGAAAGCAUAACCAGCUAACCUCUCAAGUAUUUGAUCAAUGAACGGCAAUGGGAAGUGAUCCUUCCUUGUAGUGGAGUUUAGCUUCCUAUAGUCGAUACACACCCUCCAACCAGUUUGAAUGCAGGUAGGCACAAGUUCAUUCUAGGCAUUUUGAUGCGAAAUAUAUAAGCACACAAAUUAAACCCUCUUUUUAUCAAUUGUAGCAAAGUAUGUAAGUAGGGAUCGUUCUAGGCCGGGGAUUAGGAGGGAUUGCUAAAUCACUUAAAACUGACUCAAAAACGUAAAAACAAAGUUUAAAACACUAAACUAGCCUCAAAGAAUGCAAAACUAAACUCUAAAACACUAAAACAAACCAAAAGACUCAAAACAGCCCAGAAACACUCAAAACUUCCUUAAAAUCACAAUCUGGGCAGUUUGAACACCUAACACUAAUUUGGACGAAAUUGGGUUAUAACUUGACUCAAGACACUGAUGUGGAAAUUAUGUUGACACACAAAUUAAACCCUAUUGAUGACAAUUGUAGUAAUGAUGCAAGUAGGGAUCGUUCUAGACCAGGGAUUAACUAGGGAUGUUAAUCAACACAAAUAAGACUAAAAAACACUAAACUAGACUCUAUAGACUCAAAACUAACUCAAAACACUCAAAACAGCAAAUAACAACCAAAAAGACUCAAUUCUAGACCUAACAAGUGACUUGGACGAAAAUAGGACUUCAAAGACUCAAAAGACUUAAAAGAAACAAGUUUUGACUCUAAAAACAAGACUUAAAAGUAAGGGGUUUGGUUUUGAGGAAAAUUGAAAUUUAAAACAUAAACUUUGAAAACAAACUUUAACAAAAACGAUUUUGAUGAAAUAGAAUGGUGAAAGGCUAGUUAGAGGGUUUCUUCUCCACACAUGAAACAUAUGCAUACGACUCGAUUUCCAGUUACUCUUUCAACAAACCAUGAAUGAAAAUGUCCCAAAUUAACUAGAUUGCACCAAUUAAUUCUCAGAUUUCCCUAGAUUCAUUGAAUUGAAUGGAAUACGCAUUACAACCAAAUUAUUCUUAUCAAGGACCCUAACUAUGGAAUACGCAUGACAGAGACACAUAUCAAAGAUCAUUAAGUUCAAUGGAAAUUAUAAACAUCGACGAGGCAUUCAUAACUAUGGAAUACGCAUGUUACUCUUGCCAAGGAUUUACUUAACACAAUCGUGACGAGUAACUUUUACUACUUGUGAAUAUAAGUUAAUAACGAUUAGGUGAAAUUCCCUUAUACUCUAGCGUCAAAUUCAUGCAUGCGAACUAAGUAUGCAUCCUUAAUUAACAUACAUAAACAUGUUAUCAAUCAAAUAGAUAAGUAAACCACAUUCACAAUUCAUGAAAUCAUAACUGGAGGAAAUCAAGUCAUAUAAAACAUAUGAUCAUGGCUUUGAAUUCCCCUCUAACUAUAAAGAAAUUAGUUCCUCAUGUUCGCAAAUAAAUAAAGAUAAAUAAAUCUAAACAUUGACAUAAAGAUAGAAAACACCUAGAAACGCUCCAACAAUCCAAGCUCCUUGAAUGGCAUGCACGGCUCCAGAUUUCUUCCUUCUUAUCCUUGCAAAACUCACGGCACAAGAGGGGUUUUUUGGUGAAUGGUGUAGUGAAAAUAUGGUAGAGAGUGGUGAAUGAAUGGUGCGGCAUAAGGUGGUAUUUAUAGGCUGAAAAUCCCAACUCCUAGGUAGCAAAGGACAAGGUUUUAAAGGUCUAAUCUGCAUAGGACAAUAACAUACAAUCCUAUAAGGAAAACAAGUCAGAAAUCCAAAAAGGAAUGGGAGAUAAGGUGCGGCACAAAGUUAUGAGAUGAUAAGGCUUCUAGAAAUCUGAAAUCCCAAGGGAAAUAGGACAUAGGGUGCGGCACAAAGGGUUGUUUCUAGAAAGAAAUACAAGGCAGAUUUUUAGGCUUCUAGAAAGGUUCUAGGCGCCAUCUUUUUAGGACAACAUUAGGUCUUCUAGAAAUCUGAUUUUAAGCCUCCUAAUCUAGUUAGAAACCCUCCCUUGCAGCUGAAAUAUGGGUAGUUUAGGAUUAGGAUAAGAUAGGAUAGGAUAAAGUUUGUUUGGAUAAGAUAAGCUAAGAUAAGGUUAUGGAUGAGGUUUUGGAUAAGAUUCCUUCACUUGAGCUGAUUCUUUGGCUUUAACUCUUCUUCUUCAUGUAGGAAUACUUGCUUGAGUAGGAAACUUCAUACGUCUAGGAAUCCAUCUUCAAUUAGGACUCCUACAUUGAUUAGGAAUCCUUCUUCAUUUAGGAAUCCUACAUUUAAGCCAUUUCCUACAUCAACUAGGAAACUUUGUAUCUUCAAUUCUUCAACUUCAAAAAGACAUUCCUAGCUUCUUCAAUCCCUCAAAUUCGUCAAUCCUUUGUGCUUCACAUGCAUGAACUUCAUUCUAGCCUAGUUUUGCUCCAAAAUGCUCCAAAUUGCAUCAUUUUGCUUACUUUGUCCUUAAAACCUGAAAACACAUGAAAAUAGCUUAAAAGACUAACUUAACUAAGAAAACACAACAUAAAUGCAUAAGAACUAACUAACUAAGGCGCAUAAAUAUGCUCCUAUCAAAUUCCCCCACACUUAGCUUUUGCUAGUCCUCGAGCAAAACAAAUAAACAAAACUAAACGAAACAAAAUAAUCAAAACAUAACCUAAACCUUCCAACGUUUGCCUCAGGGAUUCCCAAUGCACAUGACAUAUUAAAAAUCAUCAUUCCCAUAGAUUUUAGUCAUCUUCACACUUAAGCACAUACUUAAUCAUAGUCACCACGUACUAGUUCACAUAUAACCAUUUAAAACAUGAUUUUGAAUGUAGUAACAUGCCUUAGAGAAUUUACUCAAGUCCUUACUAGAUAUGCACUCAAUUUUCACACAGAUUUUCUAACUCCACACCCUAUACUAGUUAUAUGUGAGAAGAUUGAUGUAAAUAUGAAAACGAAUCCUCACAUAUAUGUAUAACAAAGAAAGCAUUUUCUGGAGUUAAUAAGCAUUUAGAUAUGAUCUCAUGAAUGGAAUGCUACUACUUAGAUGUGAGAACCAAGGAUAUCAUAUGCUCAUACCAAUUCCAAACUCCACAUAUUGAAACACAUAACAAUCAAGAUAGAAGUAAAGGGUUGUAACGGGGCUAAGGUAUUGGCUAACAAAGGAAGGUAAGGAUAAACAAACAUUCUUAAAGCAAAGAAUGAUGAGAUCAUGCAACGACUUUAGAAAACAACAAAUUCAUAGAUUAUUAACUCUCCAAAGAAUGUUUAGGCUCAAGUCUCACAGGGUGUAGCGUUAGUUUGAGUUCCUUCCUUCAAGCAUGUUACAAAAACUGAUUUUUUCCUUUGUGAUUACAUGUGAAUUCAUAAGUUAUAACCACAACCAAGCAUAAACCAAAGAGUAAAUCAAACGUCCAUCCAUGUUUAUAACUCUCUUUAACAGUCAUGCAAUUAAAAACCGAAUCCUCAUCAUUGUGUUGGAAGGUACUCUAAAACACGAACAAACACACAAAAACGACUCUUUUUUGGAUUUUUCAAAACAAUUUUUCAAAUUUUUAUGGGAUUUUCGGAUUUUCAUGUUAAAACAUACUAAAAUACUUCAAAACACACUAAAAACACUUAAAAACAGUGAAAAACAACCGUUGAAAUGUUAGGUGGUAAAAUCCUACGAAUUUUUCAAUAAAAACACUUGUUUACCCCCCCACACUUAAACCAAACAUUGUCCUCAAUGUUUCAAACAUAGACUCACACAAAAACAAGCAAUUAACACAACUAGAAAAACAUGACGAAUAUGGCAAAAGAAAAGCAAUAAAGAGUAGGGUUUAGGAACGCAAAUCUGGUUUGUGAUGCCGGAGCUUCCUAGGUCUUCUUUUAUUCGCAUGGGUUGCCUCCCACGAAGCGCUUGCUUUUAACGUCUUCCAGCCGGACGAUGCCUCCAAUCAAGCUUGAAUAGUGCCCACGGCAUGGAAGGAGACUUCCUCCACGGCCUUCUCCUCAAAAGUUGUGUAAUAUGGCUUCAAACGAUGUCCAUUGACUUUGAAUUCUUGUUGCAUCUUCAAACUUUGAAUUUGAACUGCACCAUGUGGAAAAACAUUAGUAACAAUAAAAGGGACCAAUCCACUUAGAACGCAACUUACCUGGAAACAACCGAAGGCGAGGAAUUGAAAAGUUAACACUUUCUGCCCGAUNAUACUAGUUAUAUGUGAGAAGAUUGAUGUAAAUAUGAAAACGAAUCCUCACAUAUAUGUAUAACAAAGAAAGCAUUUUCUGGAGUUAAUAAGCAUUUAGAUAUGAUCUCAUGAAUGGAAUGCUACUACUUAGAUGUGAGAACCAAGGAUAUCAUAUGCUCAUACCAAUUCCAAACUCCACAUAUUGAAACACAUAACAAUCAAGAUAGAAGUAAAGGGUUGUAACGGGGCUAAGGUAUUGGCUAACAAAGGAAGGUAAGGAUAAACAAACAUUCUUAAAGCAAAGAAUGAUGAGAUCAUGCAACGACUUUAGAAAACAACAAAUUCAUAGAUUAUUAACUCUCCAAAGAAUGUUUAGGCUCAAGUCUCACAGGGUUGUAGCGUUAGUUUGAGUUCCUUCCUUCAAGCAUGUUACAAAAACUGAUUUUUUCCUUUGUGAUUACAUGUGAAUUCAUAAGUUAUAACCACAACCAAGCAUAAACCAAAGAGUAAAUCAAACGUCCAUCCAUGUUUAUAACUCUCUUUAACAGUCAUGCAAUUAAAAACCGAAUCCUCAUCAUUGUGUUGGAAGGUACUCUAAAACACGAACAAACACACAAAAACGACUCUUUUUUGGAUUUUUCAAAACAAUUUUUCAAAUUUUUAUGGGAUUUUCGGAUUUUCAUGUUAAAACAUACUAAAAUACUUCAAAACACACUAAAAACACUUAAAAACAGUGAAAAACAACCGUUGAAAUGUUAGGUGGUAAAAUCCUACGAAUUUUUCAAUAAAAACACUUGUUUACCCCCCCACACUUAAACCAAACAUUGUCCUCAAUGUUUCAAACAUAGACUCACACAAAAACAAGCAAUUAACACAACUAGAAAACAUGACGAAUAUGGCAAAAGAAAAGCAAUAAAGAGUAGGGUUUAGGAACGCAAAUCUGGUUGUGAUGCCGGAGCUUCCUAGGUCUUCUUUAUUCGCAUGGGUUGCCUCCCACGAAGCGCUUGCUUUAACGUCUUCCAGCCGGACGAUGCCUCCAAUCAAGCUUGAAUAGUGCCCACGGCAUGGAAGGAGACUUCCUCCACGGCCUUCUCCUCAAAAGUUGUGUAAUAUGGCUUCAAACGAUGUCCAUUGACUUUGAAUUCUUGUUGCAUCUUCAAACUUUGAAUUUGAACUGCACCAUGUGGAAAAACAUUAGUAACAAUAAAAGGACCAAUCCACUUAGAACGCAACUUACCUGGAAACAACCGAAGGCGAGAAUUGAAAAGUAACACUUUCUGCCCGAUAGAGAAUGUCUUGCUACGAAUCAUCUUGUCAUGGAAUGCCUUUGUUUUCUCCUUGUAAAUGUGAGCAUUCUCUUAAGCUUCAUUCCUAACUUCCUCAAGCUCAUUCAAUUGAAGCUUUCUAUGGAGUCCUGCGGCAUCAAUGUCCAUAUUGAAAGUUUUGAUGGCCCAAUGUGCUUUGUGCUCCAAUUCAACUGGAAGAUGGCAUGGUUUCCCAUAGACUAGCCGAAAUGGGGACAUUCCAAUUGGUGUUUUGUAGGCUGUACGAUACGCACACAAUGCAUCAUUCAAGCGCAAGCUCCAAUCUUUCCGGUUUGGCCCUACGGUCUUCUCCAAAAUUUGCAUGAUUUCUCUAUUUGAAACCUCCGCUUGCCCACUUGUUUGAGGAUGAUAAGGUGUGGCCACCUUAUGCGUGACAUUAUAUUUCUUGAGUAGCGCCUCAAUUGUUCGAUUGCAGAAAUGGGAGCCCCCAUCACUUAUAAGUAUCUGCGGCAUUCCAAACCUUGCAAAA
RNAcentral lists this long non-coding RNA (9961 nucleotides) under Malus domestica (apple). RNAcentral describes it as "long non-coding RNA (MDOM_LNC018740)". Lineage: Eukaryota; Viridiplantae; Streptophyta; Magnoliopsida; Rosales; Rosaceae. The record is from RNAcentral.